GACGAACGCUGGCGGCGUGCCUAAUACAUGCAAGUCGAGCGAAUCUUGAGGUGCUUGCACCUCUUGGUUAGCGGCGGACGGGUGAGUAACACGUGGGCAACCUGCCUGUAGGACUGGGAUAACUUCGGGAAACCGGAGCUAAUACCGGAUAAUCCUUUUCCUUUCAUGAGGAAAAGCUGAAAGUCGGUUUUUCGCUGACACUUACAGAUGGGCCCGCGGCGCAUUAGCUAGUUGGUGAGGUAACGGCUCACCAAGGCGACGAUCCGUAGCCGACCUGAGCGGGUGAUCGGCCACACUGGGACUGGGACACGGCCCAGACUCCUACGGGAGGCAGCAGUAGGGAAUCUUCCGCAAUGGACGAAAGUCUGACGGAGCAACGCCGCGUGAGCGAUGAAGGCCUUCGGGUCGUAAAGCUCUGUUGUUAGGGAAGAACAAGUAUCGGAGUAACUGCCGGUACCUUGACGGUACCUAACCAGAAAGCCACGGCUAACUGCGUGCCAGCCGCCGCCGUAA
This 513-nucleotide ribosomal RNA is filed under the name uncultured bacterium. RNAcentral describes it as "partial 16S ribosomal RNA". It matches the Rfam family "Bacterial small subunit ribosomal RNA", at positions 28 to 523 of the family's 1533-position model. The record is from RNAcentral.